GAUAAAAAAGAGAAUAAAUUAGUAAAACAAGGAGAAAAUGGCAAAUCAAUCCAGGAGAUCUAACUUCUGACUAACAGAAUUACAGAAUCCAAAGCAGGGAGGCGACAGAGAGAGAGAAAAUUAUCAGAGAAAUAAUCCAAGAAAACUUCCCAGACUUGAAGGAUAUUACCUCAUUGAAAGUCUCACUGAGUAAAUAAUCAAAUGAAUGAAAACAAAACAAAACAAAACACCUGAAAUGUAUCAUUGCGAAUAUUUUCUGGGGGAGAAUAGAUAAAAUGCAAGGAAUCAAGAAUCAGAAUAACACUGGGUUUCCAUAGCAAUUAUUGAAGCUAGAAGACAAUGAAGCUGGAAGAAUUUUCCUCAAAACUUUGAGGGAAAAAAGUUUUUAGCUUGUAUUUAAUAUACUGCUGAGCAAUCAAUCAAAUAUAAGAGUAAACUAACAAUCCAGGUGUAGAGUCUCUGGAAAAUUUGUCUCAAGUUGAUCUGUCAUGCAUUCAUCAUCAACUUUACUGAAAGCAUUCCACCAAGACAAGAGAGUAAGCCAAAGGACAGAAAGAUUGGAGCUUUACCAUCAAAAAAGCCAAGAAGGAACCCCCAGGCUGAUAGUUACACAGCAGGCUUAGAAAGCAACCAGUUUCCACUGGGGCAGAACAUUGAGGACUCUAGAAAUGUUGUCCCUGGAGAAGAGACAGGAGAGGGGGAGGGAAGGGAGCAGAUGAGAAACCAAGAGAACACCUGGUAUGGUUAACCUAAAGGAAAGCAGUGUUCAUCAUUCUUGAGAUGAGUUUGGGAAGAAUUAUGAAUAGAAAGAAAGAAAACUAAGCAAAUAGAAAUGCAAUGACUAACUUUGAUAAGAGCAAAAAUUUUUACAAGGAAGGAGGUGUACUAAAAGAGUCAGAGGUAAAUAGAACUUUUGUAGUCCCCUUUGUGACAAAGUCACAAGACUUUGUCCCGUUCACUGCUACAAUCCAGCAAGAGUCAAGUGCUCACACUGGUAGACCUAGGACUAUAGGGGCAAUCUCUAGAAAACAGAGCUUCCUAGGAGAUAUACACACAGAGGGGUGUGCUGUUGGGAAAGCCAGCGAGAUGUCCCUCUCAGAGAAGGGGUAGCCACUUCAGAGGUUCUCUUGUAGAGACAUUGGACCAGAGGAGCCUGAUGAUCCCGUCCAGUUCUCAGAUCCUAUGGUCAGUCCUGAGGACAGAACAAAAGAGAAUGUUGUACUUCUCCAUAAAAGCAGGGUAUGAGAGGAUGAUGCUUUUAUCACCAGCUGGACUAAACUUUGCAAUGCGUAAUGGAGGAAAGUUAAAAUAUCUUCCUGGCAAUGCUUUGAACUCAAUUUCAAGUAUUGAACCUGGCUCAAGUCUUACUGCAUGGGUUUGGCUUAAUUCAUCCGUGAGUCUUACUUGCCUCUGUAUCCUGCAAGCCUCACUUGGAACCUAGAACCCAGGGCAUCUUUAAGGUGACCAGCUGAAUGCCAUGAAGUUCUGAGAUUAGUUUUCUCCUGGAGAGGACUCUCAUAAGGAAAUGCGUGUCAUUUUUUCCAGGUUUAGUAUGAGAGGAGAGAGAAGAAAACUAAAGCAAAUGUCCAGAAGUGUGUCAGGCAGUAUAUUAAGGAUUUCCCUUGUUUGGUUUUAGAAAGGGAGGCACCAUUUCAUUACUCUGGCUUCUCAUUGGCCCCAUGUAUUACACAUGGUGUGUAAAGAGAAACGCCAUGUAACUCAACAAAAUACUCCAAUAUUUUUAAGGAUUCUGUGGAUUUCUUAUAGAAAACCUUAAAUUAUAAAAGUUUAUAGUUUGCAGAUUUUCCAACUCAAACUAUAAACAGCCUUUGUGUUAAAAUAUUUUUUAUAUGAAACAUAUGCUCUCAGCCCUAAUUGGCACAAAUAGGAAAAUUGAUAUAUUCAGGUCUUCAGUGCUUAAAUUAUCACAUUCCUAGACCAGAGAGACAGAGAGGGAGAAAUUGGGGGGGGGGGGGGGAACUGGAGGAAUGAAAUCUUGUUUUAUCUUUUGGAUACCUGGCGUUUUCUGUAACAGCCCAUCAGGGUGCUGUGUCAAAGACACUGAUGAGAGGUUUCCCAAAGUUAAUUUUUCUCAUAAUACAAUAACCAAAUUUGUUUUAACACUUGAAAAGGCCCAUCCAUACUAAAAAGAAUCAGUUGCUUAAUCCUAAAAUUAAAGGUUAUUGCAUGCAAGAGAAAAUAAUUACAUGCUCAAAGUAUGGAAAAAAGAAAACUUUUUUUAAUAUGUAGGUAUUUGUAUAAUUAAAGACUAAUCAAGCAUGAAGGGCUGCUGACUAAACCAGAAAAUGAGAUUGUUGGCAAGCAAUAUUGUAAUGUAAAUGCCAUUUUUGUUUAACUACUAAGAAGCUGGAGAAAUGAUAUCCUGAACAGAUUAAAAGCAAACAGCAUUGAUAAUAAAUAUUUAUCAGAUUUCAAAUGCAACACAGAGGAUUUUUAUAUUUCAUGUGCAAGAUUGGCUUGCGGGGAUGUUUCCAGGUACUUUUCAAGGGAGUAGUUAAUGUCCUUAUUUAGAAUUGCAUUUCCCGAUAGGAUCUUCGUUGUCUGUGAGAGGACCUGUGAAGUAGGAGCCAAGGCCAAGUGUCCCUCAGUGCCAUUGUUUACCAAUUAAGAUUUUGUUGAUUAGUAUUAGUUACUGAGUAUCAGCCAAAGACUUUCUCAUGAAUACCCUGAGUGUAUUCUUAGAGAUGAGUUACAAGCAAGGCACAGAUGUGAACGAAACAGAAACGAUUUCUGUAAACUCCAGGUACCUAAUCUUUGAAGUCACAUAGAAACGUUCGGAGACUUCCUACAACUGUGAAAUGUUACAUGGCACGCUCAUUUGUCACGAGGAUUAAAUAAACAAAGGUGCUAAAGUGCCUUUCAGGAAGUAGAACGCAGUAGUCACUCAGCGCAUCUGAGUUUGGCUCCCUCCCUCCCUUCUUCUCUGCUGACUGGUUCAACCGAACCACCCCACCCGUCUGUUCUCACCAAGACAGUGUUGCCUUUGGAGAUGCUUCCAAGACCUCUGAUUCUUCCUUCUGAGUGUGCACUGAGAGCCUGACCAAAUCCGAGCCCCCAGCACUCCUGAGAUGCAAGAGUACUCUAGAAGGUGGGGAGUAGAGGUUUUUCUCUCAGCCUGAAGGAACCCAGAAACACAACAGGAAAGAGCAUACCACAAAGAGACCAAAGAUCCUAAUCUAAUGAGGCCCUCACUGGAAAACUUCCUUUCCCUUUGUAUGUGGUGAUUUCCCUGUAUUCGACUGGGCUCAGCCAGAUUUGUCUCAUAAAUCAAGACUUGCUGCAAAAUGUAGGUGGAUCUCUGAAAAGCCGACUUGCUGACCUUCUGAUAAAAAUAUGAAUUAAUUAAUCAAAAGCAGCUUUUAAAACCCAAGUGUUGUGCACAGCAAGUAGGCUGUUUUCCUUCUACCACAAAGCAUAAUUAUAGAUAAGUUUUCAGGAGAAGAGGCAAGACUGUCAUUUUUUUACCUUCAAAAACAGUAGAAAAUUCACUUUUUGGUUUCUAAAUUAGAAUCUGUCACUUUGACUGCCUCUGUUUCUUUUGGGUGUACUGCACACGGUAUGUGAUCCAGAAAGUUGAAAGCUUGAAGACCUACUAAAAUGCAGUGGGGGGUUUUCAGAAAAAGAUUACUGAGUGACAAUAUGAUAGCCUUCAGGCUUGCUGCUAGAAAUUUUUAUUUAACUUAUUUUCUCCCUAAUGUGGUAGUAACAUAUACCUAUUUUCUGAAGAUUGCAGAACACAUCAUCAAAUGACAGUUCAAAAAAACAUUUUAAAGUUUAUUUUCUCCCUUUUUAUGUAACUUAGUUGAGAGCCAGGAAACAGCACUAAAAGAUGUGUUUCUCUCACCAUGUUGCCCUGCUCACACAGUUUGAAAGGGUCACCAUGAAAUUGCCAGUUCUUGAGUCUGAAGAAAGAACAUCCACAAAUGUUUGAGCUCUGGUUUUAGAGAGGACCUGAGGUUAUUUGUAGAAAUGAGUGGGUCAGGCAAUGGGGAAAAGCCCAUAGAAAGUGUCUCUGUCACACAGAGACAGCACUUCCUUCUCCGACUGCCGGGGGACAAAGUCCUGAGCCAUGCAGGACAGUUCUCCACUCCCUCUGGGUACCAUCCCCCGGUGGCAGUGUCUGAGAACGUGUUCGUUCACUCAGCCUCCAUCUCUAUAGCAGUCUUUGCCUCCCUUGUCUGCAAAUAUGAGUUCCUGUUUUGGAGAGUCCAAACAAAAUUAUAAUCUAGUCUUCGAUGGCUCAAAAAAUACCCUCCACUAAAAAUAUAUCUUGAAGCUUCCACUCCUGCCCAAAACUCAGAGAACGUGCAUUUAGUCAAUGCCGUUUUAUUUCCUAUUGAAAUCUAUCAACUUCCAGGAAAAAAAGGAAGAGGGGAGAGGAGGAAAUGAAAAUGUUUAUUGCAACACAUAUAAGGGUUGAGUAGCCCAGGAAAGAACCUCCCAGGUUUGACUUGGGAGGUCUCUCCUUUCUGGGCAUGUCUGCUUAGAAGGAUAGCAAAUCCAGAAGGAUUCGUGGGGUACCGAGAUUCACAGAGUAUUCUGGGAUUCUGUGGCAAGCUAACCCAGACCUUUACAUCUGGGGAACUUUUUUCAGAUUCCAUAUUAGAUUUCUCAUGCCAUUCAAAUCCUUCAAGUCAUGCAUUCAUUUAUUCAACAAUGAUGCCUUGAGCCUCUACAGAUGUUGGGAGAGAACCUGCCAACAUAUGGAGAGAAUGGGCUCCAGGGGAGAGACCAGGACAGAGCCCUGAGCUAGGAGGGUGCUGGGCUGAUUCCAGAAAGAGCAGAAAGGGCAACAAGACUACAGUCUUGAGUGAGGGUGGUAGUAGCAGCAGAUGGGGCCAUAAAGGAAGCAGGGACCAAAUGAUCUUGGAGCCUGGAUGCCACUGUUAGGAUGUCAGCAAUUACCUUGAAUGAAUCAGGAAGCCCUGCAGACCCACUGAGGGGAAGAGACUGUAGGGGCUCAAAAGCAAAAAUGGGGAGUCCAGUUAGGAGGCCACCGCACUGAUUUCAACAGGGUGACAAGAUCUUGUACCAAGUUGGAUGAGGUAGAGAUGGUAUAAAUUAAUCAACCUGCAUGUAGUCUGAAGACGAACUGACAGGAUUCAUUAAAGGACUGGCUUUGAUAUGUAAGAAAAGGACAGGAGGUCAAGGUUGUCUCCAAUGACUUUGGUCUAUGCAACGGGAGGCAUGGAACUUCCACAUGGGGAAGCUGAUGGGAUGAAGAGGUUUGGGGACAUGUUCGGUUUUGGCAUGUCAGUCUUGGGCAGGUUAUGUUCAAGAGCUGCUAAAUGUCUCGGAGGAAAGGUUGAGAAAACAGGUGGAUCUCAAGUUCUAGAGAAAGGCCCAUGUUGGAGAUAAAUUUGGGAGUUCAUUGGUGUUCCCCUGGUAUUUAAAGCCAUAACCCUGAACCAGAUAACCCAAAUGGUGGGCCCAGAUAGAAAAGAGGUUCAAGCAUUUCUGAAGCACUUAAUGUGAAAAAUUCCUAUAAAAGAAAAAAAAAAAUCAGCCAAGGAGACUGAGAUGAGGUCAAGGAGGAGGGAAGGGAGAAGCACCCAGAAGCUGAAGUAAAUCUAUACUUCCAGGAAGGAGUGAUCAACAGUGCCAACUAGUUUUGACAGAUCAAGUAAGAGGGGAGCUGAGAAUAAACAUUGGAGCUAGCAUGUGGAUGGAAGCAGUGCCCUUGACAAGAGCUUCUGAGGGGCGGUGGUAAGGGGUUGCAGGAUUAAAGUGGAUACCAAU
Molecule: long non-coding RNA, 5760 nt
Organism: Mustela erminea (ermine)
Lineage: Eukaryota; Metazoa; Chordata; Mammalia; Carnivora; Mustelidae
Exons: 2
Source: RefSeq, a predicted model, not a curated record